GUCAGUGGCGAUAUAGCACGUUGAACACACCAGUUCCCAAUGAAUAAAUGAAGUUAAGCAACGUUACGCGUGGUUGGUAUACAGAUGGGUGACCAAAUGACCAUCUGGCCAAUCGUGUGCUACUGGAU
Molecule: ribosomal RNA, 128 nt
Filed under: Diaphorina citri (Asian citrus psyllid)
Lineage: Eukaryota; Metazoa; Arthropoda; Insecta; Hemiptera; Psyllidae
Source: RNAcentral